Molecule: ribosomal RNA, 237 nt
Filed under: uncultured bacterium
Lineage: Bacteria
Description: partial 16S ribosomal RNA
Rfam family: Bacterial small subunit ribosomal RNA
Source: RNAcentral
CGAACGGGUGAGUAACGCGUGAGGAACCUGCCUCAAAGAGGGGGACAACAGUUGGAAACGACUGCUAAUACCGCAUAAGCCCACGGCUCGGCAUCGAGCAGAGGGAAAAGGAGUGAUCCGCUUUGAGAUGGCCUCGCGUCCGAUUAGCUGGUUGGUGAGGUAACGGCCCACCAAGGCGACGAUGGAUAGGGGUUCUGAGAGGAAGGUCCCCCACAUUGGAACUGAGACACGGUCCAA